Non-coding RNA from Camellia sinensis, 989 nucleotides. The record is from RefSeq and is a predicted model, not a curated record. NCBI's taxonomy places the organism in Eukaryota, Viridiplantae, Streptophyta, Magnoliopsida, Ericales, Theaceae.
AUUGUUUGUCCAAUGUCCUCUUAUUUUCUCGCACUGGUUAUUGUAGUAAAAUUGGAAAGCUUAUGCUUGCAAGAUUGUUGACUGCACAUGAUGCAAUGAUGUCAUAUGAUAAAACUCCAGAGACAUGCAAGAUGGUCCAUUCUGAAGAAGUUAAAGAAUUAUAUAGUGAUCUUAUGACAUUGGACCCACCACAUUCUCAAUACUACAAGGAUGAAUACAGCUUAGUCGUGUUAAAGCAGCUGACCUCCAGUCCGGAAUCUUUGCUGAGUGUCAUUACAGGGACUCGGCAUCAUCAAGCACCAAUAAUUAUAUCUAUUUACGAUUCAGUAAUCUUUUGUUGUCACAUAUUGGAUCUAUUGAGAGAUUACUGUGGGUCCAAAUGUUAGACCUCAGCCACAACCAACUUAGCUCAAUUGAAGUCUUUAUGACAGGAUUGCAGACUAUGCAGCUUCUUUCUUGCUUGAACCUUAGUAACAACAAAAUGGGUAGUUUUUCUGCUCUGGAGCCUUUAAAACUGCUAAAGUCAUUGAAAGUGUUGGAUAUCUCAUACAAUGAAAUCGGUGCCCACACUGUCGACACAAGAAGGUACUUGUGCUCUUCUCCCCUCUCCCAUAUAGUAGGAAGUGAUUGAAAUUUUGGUGAAUUUAUAAUUAGUGGUGUCAAUGUGACAAAUUACUGGAAAGCGUUUGCAAUUUUUAAAGACUCGAAGUUGACACAAUUAGACAUUAUUGUUGUUGCUGAAGAAAAGUUUAAGUUGUUUCUGGUUAAGAUAUUACCUGCGCUUAAUUGGCUUGAUGGUGUAGAAUUGCAUUGAUUCUACAUUCCUUAUCUUGUUUCUCAUACGGUUAAGUUGUAGCUUAUUUUCAUAUAAUUUACCAAAGAACAGUUGUUGUUUUAUAAGAUAAUGAACAUUUGCUUAUAGAUGCUUUUAACCCCAACUAUUUUGCCAUAUGGUGUUUUGGUAAUUUUUUAAAUUUAUCAAUUGAUCU